RNAcentral lists this long non-coding RNA (1177 nucleotides) under Equus asinus (donkey). RNAcentral's name for it is "lncRNA (ENSEASG00005038604.1)". The record is from RNAcentral. Lineage: Eukaryota; Metazoa; Chordata; Mammalia; Perissodactyla; Equidae.
GGGGCACAAGUGGGGAGGGAGGGAAGAGAAGAAGGAUGCUUUAUCCACUUAGGGCUUGUGGAGAGCUAAUCUCAUGGACUACUGGGAGGAGAACUUGGACCCUCUUUCUCUGAUGGUCAUUAGCUUCCAGCCCCUGCUAUGGCCUGAAGCUACUUCAGGAUCCUGUGGAAAAGCUGCAUUAUAAUCGAUAGCCUCAUAAAUAAAUGAAGAGUCAACGCAGCCUGUCUCCUCCAGCUCAGGGCAUCUUCAGGAAAAUCGAACCUCGAGCCACUUCUGCUCACCCAUUCUGGAUUUCUACAGAGGCCUCCAGAGGGAAGGAAUCUUACAGGUCAUCCUGAGCAUCCCCCUGCCUCUGGGCUGGCCUGCCAUGUACCCCAUCCAAGGAGGUCUGCUUGCCACCCCUACCCAGGAAGGCCUGCCCUCUCCUGGCAGACUCCCUUCUCCCAGUCCCCUGGGGCUCUCACUGUGAGUUCUUGCUCACCUUCAUUCUCUUGCUCCUGGUGAACUCCCCCUCUCCUUUCCACCCGGGCCAUUUGCUUCUCACCACUCCUGAUUUCUGACUAUUGCUUGGCACCAAACAGGAUCAGCAGCAGGAGGAAGGGAGUCACUCCCCACUCCUCUGGAGUCUCCUCUCCAUACUCACCCCUCCGACUUCUUGUCAUCAAUUGUAAAUGGGCCCCUUGGGAUCUGACAGAGUAUGCAUUUCUGGAAGCAAUGGACAAAGACCCUUGUAACUUUACAGAACAGAUACGUGCCAGUAAGUUGACUGCAAGGCAAUCCUUCCUCUCUCUGCCUUCUAUUACAUCACUGGAGAUGUUCUUCUCGUGGGAAAAAGGAAAUCUCCAACAAGGAAGUUCAAUAUUUUGGAAUCCAAAGACCAAGAGGGUGGUCAGCCCUGUGUGGUGAUGGGCGUCAGCCUUCUGGGUUCCUUGAAACACCUCAGGACCUCUCCUCUGUUUGAUGCCUUGGUUUCCCCUCCGCUUCCCUGGCCCAGACAGAGAACACUCCCAUGGCUAAGGAUUCUUAAGCGCUGCUUGGGUAGUUAGCAUGGAGAAAGGAGUCAUCUGGUUGUGACAGCCCUCUGUAUUCGUAAUUAUUGACCACCAUGCUCCAGUUGAUCCCUGGGGGCUGAAAACUCCUUUAAUUAAAGGUUUCUGACUACAAGAUACUAUAUCCC